Molecule: long non-coding RNA, 542 nt
Organism: Mesocricetus auratus (golden hamster)
Lineage: Eukaryota; Metazoa; Chordata; Mammalia; Rodentia; Cricetidae
Exons: 2
Source: RefSeq, a predicted model, not a curated record
UAUUCUCUUUCAUGUCCAUAAACAUGUUCAUAGCAGUGAUUUUGAAGUCCUUGUCUUUUGUUUCAGUUACAUUUCAUUUCUACGGGCCUAUUCCUUGUAGAGGAAGCUUAUUAUCUUGCCUGUUCAUAAUUGAAUUUUUUUGUGUUGUGAUUUAGGCAUCUGUGGUUAUGAUGUUUGAGUUGUUUGAUUGUGCGUUUAUUUCUUUGUUUGGUGGGUGUUCUGUUCUUUGUUUGCUGUUGGCCACUCUGGAUCCUAGGCAUGUGCAGUGACUGUGGAUCCCUGGUAGAGACUCUUUCUGUGUGUUGGUGGGUGACCCAAAGGAAUGGAGAUAGGCUAGGAGGGAAGGCUGAGAGGGCAGUGGAGCACAUCUAGGAGAAUCUCUUAAGCACCAAGAGGUGGAGGCUCAGGAAUGAAGUGCAACAGGACAUGAAGGCACCUGUCUCCUAGCCAGGAAGACCCCACCAAGAGAUCAACUCACCAGCAUUCUGAUCCCAGUCAGAACUGUGAAAAAUAAAAAUAAAUCUCUGCUGCUUGACUUCCCA